Molecule: ribosomal RNA, 327 nt
Filed under: Allapsidae sp.
Lineage: Eukaryota; Cercozoa; Glissomonadida; Viridiraptoridae
Description: SSU rRNA
Rfam family: Eukaryotic small subunit ribosomal RNA (bases 52-327)
Source: RNAcentral
GAUUUCUGACGAAACUGCUAGCUGGCCCGUCACGUCAGUGAUGUGUGCCGGCUUGGCGUUUGUCAUCCGUUCGAAUGAUAUGCGCGCUGCCCUUCACUGGGUUGGUGCUGCAUGUUUUCGAUCUUUUACUUUGAAAAAAUUAGAGUGUUUAAAGCAGGCUUACGCUAUGAAUACAUUAGCAUGGAAUAAUAAUUUAGGACUUUGGUCUUAUUUUGUUGGUUUCUAGGACUAAAGUAAUGAUUGAUAGGGAUAGUUGGGGGUGCUAGUAUUCAGCGGCCAGAGGUGAAAUUCUUGGAUUCGCUGAAGACUAACUUAUGCGAAAGCAUU